ACUUGCAGUGUUGAGGAUCAGACCCCCAGCCACAUGCUAUAUAAAGCAUGUGCUUUACCCCCUGAGCCAUCUUCUGGUUCUGAGUUUGAUCCCUGGCAUUGCAUGUACCAGAAGGAUGCUCUCAUUCUCUCUCAUGAAUAAAAAUGUUAUGUUAUGUAUGUUAUGUUAUGUUACCUUAUGUUACGUUAUGUUUUUAAGAAACAUGUCUCUUCUUAAGAAACAGACAACCUGCACCUAGAUUUAGUCUGGUAAUUGGACUCAACAGUAGGCCAGGUCCACUUAAAAUCCAGAAUCAACAAAUUUAGAACCAAGGCAAAGGAGAAAACAGUCACUACAAUAUUUUUUAAGACACUGAGUAGAUUUUUUUUGCAUUGGUCUCUCUAUAUAAAAUUAUUUUCAACAUCUCUGUAUUUAUGAUUGUAGUGGGUCAAGCUGACUUGGUUCUCCUUGAGCUAGACAAUGUGUGUGUCAACAUUUGGGCUACAAUAUCCUGCUAUGUGUUGAUCUUUGAAAGUAAGAGAAUGUGCUGGGAUGGGAUGGGGAGGCAGAACUUGGAGCAAGAAGCAUCAUCAUUCAGGCUUCACAUAGGAAACACCUCAAGAUAUCAGUAUCAGAGCAACCCUUUACAAGUAUUUGUCAAGAUUUAUUUUACUUAUUUAUUGAAAUAAAGCAGAGAAACUGAGAUGGAAGGGGGAGGUAGAGAGAAAGACACCUGGCAGCACUGCUUAAGCGCUUGUGAAGCUUUCUCUUUGCAGGUGACUCGACAUAUUACCAUCUUAAGCUAGGUAUCAUUUCUUUCUUUUUCUUUUUAAUUUCUUUAUGGAGGAAUUAAUGUUUUACAUUCCACAUUAAAUACAAUAGUUUGUACAUGCAUAACAAUUCCCAGUUUUCCAUAUAACAAUCUAGGUAUCAUUUCUAAAGCCUGUUAAAUCUAAAAUGUCUUAACUUUUUGUAAUAAUUUCCUGAUUCACGUUUCCCUGUCUUAAACAUCUUGGUUCUGUUUAAAUUUGCCUUGUGGGAACUCCCAUCUGUCUCUGAUCUUGGUAAUUUUACAGGGCUUUUAGUUGAAUGCCAGCAGUAACGCUCCCAGUUAAAAAAUAAAGAAAUCGCUCUGUGUGUGCUUCGAGCUAGGCUUUACCAGAAGAUUAUCGAGAAAGACAGGUGUCAACAGCAAAAUGCCAGAAGACUGCAGGUUGGAACAAGAGCCCAGUCAGAAAGAAUUCGGACCUACAAUUUUACCCAGAAUAGAGUCACUGACCACAGGGUGUCCUUGCUGGUGGGAGAGGCCCCUGGAUGGGCUUCCAUGG
Molecule: long non-coding RNA, 1307 nt
Organism: Erinaceus europaeus (western European hedgehog)
Lineage: Eukaryota; Metazoa; Chordata; Mammalia; Eulipotyphla; Erinaceidae
Exons: 3
Source: RefSeq, a predicted model, not a curated record